ACUGAAGUGACCAGAGAGCAUUAUUCUCUGACAACAUUUUGUUCUAUAAUUAUUUAUAUCUGUUCUCUCGCAGGCAAAAUGGGAGUCCUUGAAAGUAAUUGGUGCAAAGCUGAACAGUGGAUCAGUUCUUGCAUGCCUCUAUGUUAAAUAAAUGUGCCACAAGCUUGGAGACAAAGCAGUAUCCUGGCUACAGAUAAAGACCAGUGGAAGGAAGUGCCAAGGAUGAUGUGGAGACCUAUGAACAAAGGAUUGUGCCUUUGCUGACUAUUGAUGUGC
This 276-nucleotide long non-coding RNA is filed under the name Calidris pygmaea (Spoon-billed sandpiper). RNAcentral describes it as "lncRNA (ENSCPGG00000017013.1)". Lineage: Eukaryota; Metazoa; Chordata; Aves; Charadriiformes; Scolopacidae. The record is from RNAcentral.